AGCUAAUCUGCCCUACACUAGAGGACAACAGUUGGAAACGACUGCUAAUACUCUAUACUCCUCUUUAACAUAAGUUAGAUAGGGAAAGUUUUUCGGUGUAGGAUGAGGCUAUAUUGUAUCAGCUAGUUGGUGAGGUAAUGGCUCACCAAGGCUAUGACGCAUAACUGGUCUGAGAGGAUGAUCAGUCACACUGGAACUGAGACACGGUCCAGACUCCUACGGGAGGCAGCAGUAGGGAAUAUUGCUCAAUGGGGGAAACCCUGAAGCAGCAACGCCGCGUGGAGGAUGACACUUUUCGGAGCGUAAACUCCUUUUGUUAGGGAAGAACAAUGACGGUACCUAACGAAUAAGCACCGGCUAACUCCGUGCCAGCAGCCGCGGUAAUACGGAGGGUGCAAGCGUUACUCGGAAUCACUGGGCGUAAAGGACGCGUAGGCGGAUUAUCAAGUCUCUUGUGAAAUCCUAUGGCUUAACCAUAGAACUGCUUGGGAAACUGAUAAUCUAGAGUGAGGGAGAGGCAGAUGGAAUUGGUGGUGUAGGGGUAAAAUCCGUAGAGAUCACCAGGAAUACCCAUUGCGAAGGCGAUCUGCUGGAACUCAACUGACGCUAAUGCGUGAAAGCGUGGGGAGCAAACAGGAUUAGAUACCCUGGUAGUCCACGCCCUAAACGAUGUAUACUAGUUGUUGCUAAGCUAGUCUUGGCAGUAAUGCACCUAACGGAUUAAGUAUACCGCCUGGGGAGUACGGUCGCAAGAUUAAAACUCAAAGGAAUAGACGGGGACCCGCACAAGCGGUGGAGCAUGUGGUUUAAUUCGAAGAUACGCGAAGAACCUUACCCGGACUUGAUAUCUAACAAAUCAUCUAGAGAUAGAAGAGUGUCUGCUCGCAGAAAUGUUAAGACAGGUGCUGCACGGCUGUCGUCAGCUCGUGUCGUGAGAUGUUGGGUUAAGUCCCGCAACGAGCGCAACCCACGUCAUUAGUUGCUAACAGUUCGGCUGAGCACUCUAAUGAGACUGCCUUCGUAAGGAGGAGGAAGGUGUGGACGACGUCAAGUCAUCAUGGCCCUUAUGUCCGGGGCGACACACGUGCUACAAUGGCAUAUACAAUGAGAAGCAAUAUCGCGAGAUGGAGCAAAUCUAUAAAAUAUGUCCCAGU
This 1154-nucleotide ribosomal RNA is filed under the name Campylobacter concisus. Its description in RNAcentral is "bacterial SSU rRNA". It matches the Rfam family "Bacterial small subunit ribosomal RNA", at positions 119 to 1292 of the family's 1533-position model. Lineage: Bacteria; Pseudomonadati; Campylobacterota; Epsilonproteobacteria; Campylobacterales; Campylobacteraceae. The record is from RNAcentral.